RNAcentral lists this ribosomal RNA (384 nucleotides) under uncultured Sulfuricurvum sp. RNAcentral describes it as "bacterial SSU rRNA". It matches the Rfam family "Bacterial small subunit ribosomal RNA", at positions 1005 to 1382 of the family's 1533-position model. Lineage: Bacteria; Pseudomonadati; Campylobacterota; Epsilonproteobacteria; Campylobacterales; Sulfurimonadaceae. The record is from RNAcentral.
GAAGGCGACGACCUGUAAAGUCGGGAGCCAGCGACAGGUGCUGCAUGGCUGUCGUCAGCUCGUGCCGUGAGGUGUUGGGUUAAGUCCCGCAACGAGCCGCAACCCUCGUCCUUAGUUGCUAACAGUUCGGCUGAGCACUCUAGGGAGACUGCCUUCGCAAGGGAGGAGGAAGGUGAGGACGACGUCAAGUCAUCAUGGCCCUUACGGCCAGGGCUACACACGUGCUACAAUGGGGCGUACAGAGAGCUGCGAUACCGCGAGGUGGAGCCAAUCUCUUAAAGCGUACUCUCAGUUCGGAUUGUUCUCUGCAACUCGAGAACAUGAAGCUGGAAUCACUAGUAAUCGCAGAUCAGCUAUGCUGCGGUGAAUACGUUCCCGGGUCUU